Molecule: transfer RNA, 73 nt
Filed under: Canis lupus familiaris (dog)
Lineage: Eukaryota; Metazoa; Chordata; Mammalia; Carnivora; Canidae
Also listed under: 1 other name
Rfam family: tRNA
About the family: Transfer RNA (tRNA) molecules are approximately 80 nucleotides in length. Their secondary structure includes four short double-helical elements and three loops (D, anti-codon, and T loops). Further hydrogen bonds mediate the characteristic L-shaped molecular structure. tRNAs have two regions of fundamental functional importance: the anti-codon, which is responsible for specific mRNA codon recognition, and the 3' end, to which the tRNAs corresponding amino acid is attached (by aminoacyl-tRNA synthetases). tRNAs cope with the degeneracy of the genetic code in two manners: having more than one tRNA (with a specific anti-codon) for a particular amino acid; and 'wobble' base-pairing, i.e. permitting non-standard base-pairing at the 3rd anti-codon position.
Source: Rfam by way of RNAcentral
GCCUGGCUGGCUCAGUCAGUAGAGUGUGUGACUCUUGAUCUCCAGGCUGUGAGUUCAAGUCCCAUGUUGGGUG